Molecule: ribosomal RNA, 429 nt
Filed under: bacterium
Lineage: Bacteria
Description: partial 16S ribosomal RNA
Rfam family: Bacterial small subunit ribosomal RNA
Source: RNAcentral
UAGGGAAUCUUCGGCAAUGGGGGCAACCCUGACCGAGCAACGCCGCGUGAGUGAAGAAGGUUUUCGGAUCGUAAAGCUCUGUUGUAAGAGAAGAACGUGUGUGAGAGUGGAAAGUUCACACCGUGACGGUAACUUACCAGAAAGGGACGGCUAACUACGUGCCAGCAGCCGCGGUAAUACGUAGGUCCCAAGCGUUGUCCGGAUUUAUUGGGCGUAAAGCGAGCGCAGGCGGUUUAAUAAGUCUGAAGUUAAAGGCAGUGGCUUACCCAUUGUUCGCUUUUGAAACUGGUAAACUUGAGUGCAGAAGGGGAGCGUGGAAUUCCAUGUGUAGCGGUGAAAUGCGUAGAUAUAUGGAGGAACACCGGUGGCGAAAGCGGCUCUCUGGACUGUAGCUGACGCUGAGGCUCGAAAGCGUAGGGAGCAAACAGG